This 31-nucleotide non-coding RNA is filed under the name Mus musculus (house mouse). Lineage: Eukaryota; Metazoa; Chordata; Mammalia; Rodentia; Muridae. The record is from RNAcentral.
UCCCAUUCCACUAACACAUUAUCAGAAAGCA